AUUGAACGCUGGCGGCAUGCUUUACACAUGCAAGUCGAACGGCAACGCGGAGCAGCUUGCUUCUCUGUCGGCGAGUGGCGAACGGGUGAGUCUAGCAUCGGAACGUGUUAAGUUGUGGGGGAUAACAAAACGAAAGUUUGGCUAAUACCGCGUAAGCUCCAAGGCGGAAAGUAGGGGACCUAAAUAAGGCGUUACGGUAUUUGAUCGGCCGAUGUCGGAUUAGUUAGUUGGUGGGGUAAUGGCUCACCAAGGCAAUGUACCGUAGCGGGGGUGAGAGGCCGAUCCGCCACACUGGGACUUGGACACGGCCCAGACUCCUACGGGAGGCAGCAGUGGGGAAUUUUGGACAAUGGUGGAAACCCUGAUCCAGCCAUGCCGCGUGUAUGAAGAAGGCCUUAGGGUUGUAAAGUACUUUUGUUAGGUAAGAAAAGCUAGUUUUUAAUAAAAAUUAGUGGUGACGGUACCGAAAGAAUAAGCACCGGCUAACUACGUG
RNAcentral lists this ribosomal RNA (493 nucleotides) under uncultured bacterium. RNAcentral describes it as "partial 16S ribosomal RNA". It matches the Rfam family "Bacterial small subunit ribosomal RNA", at positions 30 to 507 of the family's 1533-position model. The record is from RNAcentral.